AGCUGACGUUAGGAAGACCCUAUCUAGGAUUAACCCACGCAAGGCUGCGGGUCCUGACGACAUACCUGGCCGUGUAUUGAGAGACUGUGCUGCACAGCUGACAGAUGUCCUAACAGAUAUCUUCAACACCUCGCUGAGCCAGGCAGUCGUCCCCACAUGUCUCAAAUCCACAACAAUCAUACCGGUACCAAAGAAAUCACCUGUGUCCUGUCUAAACGACUACCGUCCCAUAGCACUGACUCCAAUCAUGAUGAAGUGCUUUGAGAGGUUAGUCAUGCACAACAUCAAAACCAGCCUCCCCAACACACUCAAUCCGCUCCAGUUUGCAUACCGUCCAAACCGCUCUACAGACGAUGCAAUUUCCUCCACCCUCCACCUGGCUCUUACCCACCUAGAAAAUAAAGACUCCUAUGUUAGAAUGCUGUUCAUCGACUUCAGCUCAGCAUUCAACACAAUAAUCCCACAACAGCUCAUCAAUAAACUAAACCUGCUGGGCCUUAGCAAUUCCCUCUGUAAUUGGAUCCUGGACUUUCUAUCUGGAAGACCUCAGUCAGUCCGUGUCGGCCACAACACCUCGAGCACUACCACACUGAGCACAGGUGCCCCACAAGGCUGUGUGCUCAGCCCGCUGCUCUUCACGCUGCUGACCCACGACUGCACUGCCAAGUUCAGCUCCAACCACAUCAUCAAGUUUGCGGAUGACACAACGGUGGUAGGUCUCAUCAGCAACAGUGAUGAAACGCACUACAGAGAGGAAGUGGCAAAGCUGGCUGAAUGGUGUGGCACUAACAACCUGUCCCUCAAUGUGAGUAAGACAAAGGAGGUUGUGAUGGACUUCAGGAGAAACUCCGUUGACCACCCCCCACUGACCAUCGACAGCUCGACUGUGGAGAGAGUCAGCAGCACUAAAUUCCUGGGGGUGCACAUCACAGAGGAUCUCACCUGGACCACCAACACCAUGUCACUCUCCAAGAAGGCACAACAGCGCCUACACUUUCUCCGCCGGCUGAAAAGAGCAAGUCUCCCUCCACCCAUCCUCACCACAUUCUACAGGGGAACCGUUGAGAGUGUG
RNAcentral lists this long non-coding RNA (1072 nucleotides) under Sinocyclocheilus anshuiensis. RNAcentral's name for it is "lncRNA (ENSSANG00000022858.1)". The record is from RNAcentral. Lineage: Eukaryota; Metazoa; Chordata; Actinopteri; Cypriniformes; Cyprinidae.